Molecule: non-coding RNA, 934 nt
Organism: Camelina sativa (false flax)
Lineage: Eukaryota; Viridiplantae; Streptophyta; Magnoliopsida; Brassicales; Brassicaceae
Source: RefSeq, a predicted model, not a curated record
AUCAGUUCACAACUUCACUUGGCUUCUUUAGAGAGAGAGAGAAGCGAGAGAGCGAGAAAGAGGGUUCGAUUAUAAUGGCGACGAAGAGGGAGACAGACAUGAAGAAGGCAGAAAAGGUGUUGUGUUCGUGUUCCAACCUUAAGGACGAUGAAGCGGUGGUAGAUGAAAUCAGCUUCUUCCCCAAUCCAUCGUGUGUGGUUUCCAUGGGCGUUUCUUCUUCUUCAACGAACAAGUUAAGAAGGAGGAAUUCGUGCCGGGUGAGAGGAUCCGAGGACGUUGCUUGUUUGUUUGUUUCUUCUUCUGAUUCGACCACAGCCAAGCACAGAGAGAUUCAAUGAAGAAGAAUACUUAACUCUGCCAAGCACAGCUGUCCGUUUUAAGAAUGAGAAAUACCCUAGACCAAUGUGCUAUACAAGGCCCACGGAAGUGAAAAGGAAGACACCCCAAAUUGUGAUGUCCCCGAAUUUGAGAUUCUAUAGGAAGCUCGUGAUGUGUGCUUCAUGGCAAGAUUUGAAGGAUCAUAUGCGGGGAGAUGGUGAUGUGUGCUUUGCUGAGGCCACUCGAGACAGGUUAUGAGUCUUCCUCGUCCACUUCAAAUUCUCCCCAUCCAUAACAUCGUUGAUGAGUUAGAUAUGGCGGUUUAAUUCAGCCCGUCAUAAUAUUCUCUCUUUGUAAUAUUCAAUCACCGUCUCUUGAAGCUUGUUGCCAUCUAUGCUCUACCAUUACAUAGGUUAUGGUUGAUCCUUUUAUCGAUGAGGGUGAUGUCUCAAGGAGGCACGGAUACGCUUCGCUUCUUCUAAGGUUAUGGUUGAUGCGUUUAUCGAUGAGGGUGAUGUAUCAAGGAGACAAGGAUACGUUUCGCUUCUUCUCUGUGCUAACGUCUUCAAGGGUUUAGUUAUUCCUCUUAACACUUCUUUUAUUUACUCUCUGUUUU